GCAUGGGUAGCUCAGUGGUAGAAUUCUUGCCUGCCACGCGGGAGGCCCAGGUUCAAUUCCCAGCCCAUGCA
This 71-nucleotide transfer RNA is filed under the name Ovis aries (sheep). It matches the Rfam family "tRNA". From Rfam's summary of the family: Transfer RNA (tRNA) molecules are approximately 80 nucleotides in length. Lineage: Eukaryota; Metazoa; Chordata; Mammalia; Artiodactyla; Bovidae. The record is from Rfam by way of RNAcentral.